RNAcentral lists this long non-coding RNA (458 nucleotides) under Sinocyclocheilus grahami. RNAcentral's name for it is "lncRNA (ENSSGRG00000011681.1)". Lineage: Eukaryota; Metazoa; Chordata; Actinopteri; Cypriniformes; Cyprinidae. The record is from RNAcentral.
CAGUUAUUCUGGAAACAGACACAGUUGAGCUGAGCUGUGAGAAUACUGAAGAUCUGAAGAUGGAGAUGUGUUACUUCUACAUAAAUGGAGAACAAAGUAACUCAAAACAGAGCUCAUCAUGUCAGCUCUCACUCACUGGAUCUCAGAUCAGUGUUUGGUCUGGAGGUCAGAGUUCAUCUGUGAGAAUAAGCUGCUUCUACACUGUGAUGAAGGGACAAAUUAAAAAACCAUCUGCUCACUCUGAUCCAGUGACAGUUACAGUCCAGAUUUCAACAUCAACCAUUAAACAUACGAGUACAACAGUCACGACAACCUCUUUAACUGUAAUGUCCACUUCUGAAACCACAACAUACAGUAAAACUGUAGACCUUCAUUCCAAGACAAACCUUCCAACCAACACAGAAAAGGAAACAAUCUGUAAGUUAUCAAUGGUAAAACUAUGUCACUGUGUAAAAUUA